RNAcentral lists this transfer RNA (75 nucleotides) under Nitrososphaerota archaeon. RNAcentral's name for it is "tRNA-Gly". It matches the Rfam family "tRNA". From Rfam's summary of the family: Transfer RNA (tRNA) molecules are approximately 80 nucleotides in length. Lineage: Archaea; Thermoproteati; Nitrososphaerota. The record is from RNAcentral.
GCCCCCGUAGCUUAGUAAGGAUAGAGCACUGGCCUUCCAAGUCGGAGGUCAUGGGUUCGAAUCCCAUCGGGGGCG